Molecule: long non-coding RNA, 320 nt
Filed under: Homo sapiens (human)
Lineage: Eukaryota; Metazoa; Chordata; Mammalia; Primates; Hominidae
Description: non-protein coding lnc-NFASC-4:1
Source: RNAcentral
GGUGCCAAUCACACGACUAAGGUUGUGACCUGUGCUUUUGACCAACCAACUAUAAGUUGGGGUUCCCAAGACCCCCUCCUUGGUUUCAAUUAAUUUGCUAGAGCAGCUCACAGAACACUUACUUUACAUUUACCGGUUUCUUUUAAAGGAUAUGAUAAAGGAUACAGAUGAGCAGCCAGAUGGAAGAGAUGCACAGGGCAAGUCAUGUGGGAAGGGGCGCGGAGCUGCCAUGUGCUUUCCGGAAGAUCCACCCUCCAGGCGCCUCCACAGGUUCAGCUGUCUGGAGCCUCCUGAACCAAGUUUUCUUUGGUUUUUAUGGA